UCCGGAGGGUGCAAACGUUGCUCGGAAUCAUUGGGCGUAAAGCGCACGUAGGCGGUCCGGUAAGUCGGAUGUGAAAGCCCUCGGCUCAACCGAGGAAGUACAUUCGAAACUGCCGGACUUGAGUACGGGAGAGGGAUGCGGAAUUCCCGGUGUAGAAGUGAAAUUCGUAGAUAUCGGGAGGAACACCAGUGGCGAAGGCGGCAUCCUGGACCGAUACUGACGCUGAGGUGCGAAAGCGUGGGGAGAAAACAGG
RNAcentral lists this ribosomal RNA (253 nucleotides) under uncultured bacterium. RNAcentral's name for it is "partial 16S ribosomal RNA". It matches the Rfam family "Bacterial small subunit ribosomal RNA", at positions 524 to 776 of the family's 1533-position model. The record is from RNAcentral.